This 460-nucleotide ribosomal RNA is filed under the name uncultured bacterium. Its description in RNAcentral is "partial 16S ribosomal RNA". It matches the Rfam family "Bacterial small subunit ribosomal RNA", at positions 338 to 795 of the family's 1533-position model. The record is from RNAcentral.
CCUACGGGAGGCAGCAGUGAGGAAUAUUGGUCAAUGGACGAGAGUCUGAACCAGCCAAGUAGCGUGAAGGAUGACUGCCCUAUGGGUUGUAAACUUCUUUUAUAGGGGAAUAAAAUGUUCCACGUGUGGGUUUUUGUAUGUACCCUAUGAAUAAGCAUCGGCUAACUCCGUGCCAGCAGCCGCGGUAAUACGGAGGAUCCGAGCGUUAUCCGGAUUUAUUGGGUUUAAAGGGUGCGUAGGUGGUUUUUUAAGUCAGUUGUGAAAGUUUGUGGCUCAACCGUAAAAUUGCAGUUGAAACUGGCAGUCUUGAGUGCGGUUGAGGUGGGCGGAAUGCGUGGUGUAGCGGUGAAAUGCUUAGAUAUCACGCAGAACUCCGAUUGCGAAGGCAGCUUACUGGGCUGUAACUGACACUGAGGCUCGAAAGUGUGGGUAUCAAACAGGAUUAGAUACCCGAGUAGUC